CCUACGGGAGGCAGCAGUGAGGAAUAUUGGUCAAUGGACGAGAGUCUGAACCAGCCAAGUAGCGUGAAGGAUGACUGCCCUAUGGGUUGUAAACUUCUUUUAUAUGGGAAUAAAAUGUUCCACGUGUGGGAUUUUGUAUGUACCAUAUGAAUAAGGAUCGGCGAACUCCGUGCCAGCAGCCGCGGUAAUACGGAGGAUCCGAGCGUUAUCCGGAUUUAUUGGGUUUAAAGGGAGCGUAGGUGGAUUGUUAAGUCAGUUGUGAAAGUUUGCGGCUCAACCGUAAAAUUGCAGUUGAAACUGGCAGUCUUGAGUACAGUAGAGGUGGGCGGAAUUCGUGGUGUAGCGGUGAAAUGCUUAGAUAUCACGAAGAACUCCGAUUGCGAAGGCAGUUCACUGGACUGCAACUGACACUGAGGCUCGAAAGUGUGGGUAUCAAACAGGAUUAGAUACCCGUGUAGUC
This 460-nucleotide ribosomal RNA is filed under the name uncultured bacterium. RNAcentral's name for it is "partial 16S ribosomal RNA". It matches the Rfam family "Bacterial small subunit ribosomal RNA", at positions 338 to 795 of the family's 1533-position model. The record is from RNAcentral.